Molecule: small nuclear RNA, 325 nt
Filed under: Jaculus jaculus (lesser Egyptian jerboa)
Lineage: Eukaryota; Metazoa; Chordata; Mammalia; Rodentia; Dipodidae
Description: 7SK RNA (ENSJJAG00000007904.1)
Rfam family: 7SK RNA
About the family: 7SK was discovered as an abundant small nuclear RNA in the mid-70s but a possible function has only recently been suggested. Two independent studies have found that 7SK RNA binds the CDK9/cyclin T complex (known as elongation factor P-TEFb).
Source: Rfam by way of RNAcentral
GGAUGUGAGCACAAGCUGGCUGUGACAUCUGUCACCCACUGAUCUUGAGGGUGGGUUUGGGCUGAUCUGGCUUGCAAGGCUAAGGCCCCUUCCUCCCUCACAUGCUACCCAAGUCCCUCCUGAGGCUUCCUGGUCAAGGAGGAUCACUUGUCCACACAGAACCUGCCUUGGUUCUUCAACCAAGGGCAUAGAAAUAGCUGUGCUUCCCUGCUAGAGCCUCCAAACAACCCUCAGCUCCAUUUGUGGGAGAAUGCAGGGUAGUCAAGCAUCCAAGGCUGCAAACUUACCCUAAUGAGGUCCUGCAUGUGGCAGUCAUUCUCCUUUU